CCCUUUAAUCCUGGAUCUAUCGUUAUCUAAAUAAACUGAUACUACCGCUUCCGAUGUAUAUCAAAUCCUUUAUCCUUUCUUUUUCUGACUCUCACGCUCUCAACCAUCACUUACUCUCUCCAACCCUAAUUAGCCGUCAGGAACACCAGCUCCAGUCUCACAACAUACCAGGAGCACACCUCGAACCAUUCUAAAGUCAAGACCAUAGCACCAUUGCUUAGACCCACUUGAAACCUAACCUUUGUCUCUCUCUGGCGUUCUCUCUCUCUCUUUUCUGGUCAUCAACUAUCUCGAUCCACUCAUCGAUGACCAUCUCUUUGAAAGAAUAGUGACAUAGUAAGAGUAAGACCAGCACAACACCGCUCCACCACCGCACCUGUUGAAACCCUAACCUCACGACCACGCGACCAUCAUCACUUUUUUGUUUCCCAGGUUAUUUUGUACAUAGUGACCAAUACGUCCUUCAAUUAUGAGUUUAUCAUCUUGGAAUCACUUGAUACUUAUUUACACGUUUUAGGUAGACAAUUGGGAAGACACAAAAAGUUGGAAUACCUAUCAGAUAGGCGUUGGCUUUGAUAGUUGCAUUAAAGGAAGUACAUUUGAAUGCUAUGAGAUUGAGGUUUUCACUCCAGUUUGACAUUGUUUGUCCACUCCCUCUCCCUCUUUCUCUCUUUGGUUUAACAAAAAAACAUAUACAUACUGAACUAAGGUAUUAAAAAACCUAAUUAUCUAUGUAUUAUGAUUAUUGUGCAUUUCUUUUUAAUCUUAUAGUCUUUUGAUUGUUGAACUCUCAUUGUUCAGGGCCUACACCGAGGAAUACUAUAAUCAGUUAUGUGGAAUGGAAUAAUCAAUAUGAUGAAGGAAGGGAAGAUAGGGUAUUUUUGUGAUCCUUUUGAUCUUCUGGAUUUGCUGAUCUCUUUUUUGUGGAGUAUGCAGACUGACAUCUCUUCUGAGAACCAUUGAUAUAGAUUGAACAUAAUGGUUAAUUUUUUUCUUUUGGCCCUAAUUGUUUAUCUUUUGUAUAAGAGAUGACAAAUCGUGCUUAUUACAUCUAUUUAGCCACCUCAAUCGCCCAACUCAGGGGAUUGUAGUUACCAUCUAAACAUAAACUAUUUUCAUUGGUGGUGUACCAAAUACACAAUUAUAAUCUGUGAGCUUGGUGUGUGUGUAUCUUUGUCCCAAGGGUAGAAGACAUUUAGGUUGUUUAGUACUUCUGUGUAUGC
Molecule: non-coding RNA, 1223 nt
Organism: Lactuca sativa (garden lettuce)
Lineage: Eukaryota; Viridiplantae; Streptophyta; Magnoliopsida; Asterales; Asteraceae
Source: RefSeq, a predicted model, not a curated record